RNAcentral lists this ribosomal RNA (1229 nucleotides) under Providencia rettgeri. RNAcentral's name for it is "partial 23S ribosomal RNA". It matches the Rfam family "Bacterial large subunit ribosomal RNA", at positions 1589 to 2798 of the family's 2925-position model. The record is from RNAcentral. Lineage: Bacteria; Pseudomonadati; Pseudomonadota; Gammaproteobacteria; Enterobacterales; Morganellaceae.
AGUAGCUCAUGCCCCGCUUCCAGGAAAAGCCUCUAAGCUCUAGAUUAUCAUUAAUCGUACCCCAAACCGACACAGGUGGUCAGGUAGAGAAUACUCAGGCGCUUGAGAGAACUCGGGUGAAGGAACUAGGCAAAAUGGUGCCGUAACUUCGGGAGAAGGCACGCUGGCGCUAGGUGAAGUCCCUCGCGGAUGGAGCUGAAGCCAGUCGCAGAUACCAGCUGGCUGCAACUGUUUAUUAAAAACACAGCACUGUGCAAACACGAAAGUGGACGUAUACGGUGUGACGCCUGCCCGGUGCUGGAAGGUUAAUUGAUGGGGUUAUCCGUAAGGAGAAGCUCUUGAUCGAAGCCCCAGUAAACGGCGGCCGUAACUAUAACGGUCCUAAGGUAGCGAAAUUCCUUGUCGGGUAAGUUCCGACCUGCACGAAUGGCGUAAUGAUGGCCAGGCUGUCUCCACCCGAGACUCAGUGAAAUUGAACUCGCUGUGAAGAUGCAGUGUACCCGCGGCAAGACGGAAAGACCCCGUGAACCUUUACUAUAGCUUGACACUGAACAUUGAGCCUUGAUGUGUAGGAUAGGUGGGAGGCUUUGAAGUGUGGACGCCAGUCUGCAUGGAGCCAACCUUGAAAUACCACCCUUUAAUGUUUGAUGUUCUAACGUAGCCCCGUUAUCCGGGGUGCGGACAGUGUCUGGUGGGUAGUUUGACUGGGGCGGUCUCCUCCCAAAGAGUAACGGAGGAGCACGAAGGUUGGCUAAGCAUGGUCGGACAUCAUGCGGUUAGUGCAAAGGCAUAAGCCAGCUUGACUGCGAGAGUGACGGCUCGAGCAGGUACGAAAGUAGGUCUUAGUGAUCCGGUGGUUCUGAAUGGAAGGGCCAUCGCUCAACGGAUAAAAGGUACUCCGGGGAUAACAGGCUGAUACCGCCCAAGAGUUCAUAUCGACGGCGGUGUUUGGCACCUCGAUGUCGGCUCAUCACAUCCUGGGGCUGAAGUAGGUCCCAAGGGUACGGCUGUUCGCCGUUUAAAGUGGUACGCGAGCUGGGUUUAGAACGUCGUGAGACAGUUCGGUCCCUAUCUGCCGUGGGCGUUGGAAGAUUGAAAGGGGCUGCUCCUAGUACGAGAGGACCGGAGUGGACGCACCACUGGUGUUCGGGUUGUCAUGCCAAUGGCAUUGCCCGGUAGCUAAGUGCGGAAGAGAUAACCGCUGAAAGCAUCUAAGCGGGAAACUUGCC